AUGCUCACGGCCACCUCCUCCUUGCUUGCUUUCCCGCCCAUGCCUCCUCUAUCCUCUUCCUCGCUCUCUAGCCCUUUCGUCUUUCCUACUGCUCUCUCUCUCUCUCUCUCUCUCUCUCUCUCUCUCUCUCUCUCUCUCUCUCAGCCUCGAGCACCCUCAGAGAGCAUCGUCGCAGCCAUCGUGCAACCCACGCCUCGCUCACAUGUCCCCGAGCUCUGCCUCGACUUCGCGCGCCUCUUCGCCCAGUCACGCAAGGCCGGACGCCCGGAAGCGUCGCCAUUGAGCUCGUCCCUGCCGCCUCUGUUCGAAGACCGCUGGCGUUGA
This 324-nucleotide ribosomal RNA is filed under the name Triticum aestivum (bread wheat). Its description in RNAcentral is "partial small subunit ribosomal RNA". The record is from RNAcentral. Lineage: Eukaryota; Viridiplantae; Streptophyta; Magnoliopsida; Poales; Poaceae.